GCACCGGUAGCUCAGCUGGAUAGAGCACCUGACUUCGAAUCAGGUGGUCGGGGGUUCGAAUCCCUCUCGGUGCACCA
This 77-nucleotide transfer RNA is filed under the name Rhodobacterales bacterium. Its description in RNAcentral is "tRNA-Arg". It matches the Rfam family "tRNA". Rfam says of the family: Transfer RNA (tRNA) molecules are approximately 80 nucleotides in length. Their secondary structure includes four short double-helical elements and three loops (D, anti-codon, and T loops). Lineage: Bacteria; Pseudomonadati; Pseudomonadota; Alphaproteobacteria; Rhodobacterales. The record is from RNAcentral.